RNAcentral lists this ribosomal RNA (301 nucleotides) under uncultured bacterium. Its description in RNAcentral is "partial 16S ribosomal RNA". It matches the Rfam family "Bacterial small subunit ribosomal RNA", at positions 509 to 807 of the family's 1533-position model. The record is from RNAcentral.
CAGUCGCCGCGGGAAUACGUAGGUGGCAAGCGUUGUCCGGAAUUAUUGGGCGUAAAGGGCUCGCAGGCGGUUUCUUAAGUCUGAUGUAAAAGCCCCCGGCUCAACCGGGGAGGGUCAUUGGAAACUGGGAAACUUGAGUGCAGAAGAGGAGAGUGGAAUUCCACGUGUAGCGGUGAAGUGCGUAGAGAUGUGGAGGAACACCAGCGGCGAAGGCGACUCUCUGGUCUGUAACUGACGCUGAGGAGCGAAAGCGUGGGGAGCGAACAGGAUUAGAUACCCCCGUAGUCCCUGUCUCUUAUAC